This 253-nucleotide ribosomal RNA is filed under the name uncultured prokaryote. Its description in RNAcentral is "partial 16S ribosomal RNA". It matches the Rfam family "Bacterial small subunit ribosomal RNA", at positions 524 to 776 of the family's 1533-position model. The record is from RNAcentral.
UACGGAGGGUGCAAGCAUUAAUCGGAAUUAUUGGGCGUAAAGGGCGCGUAGGCGGAUGUAUAAGUCAGAUGUGAAAUUCCGGGGCUCAAACUCGGAGCUGCAUUUGAAACUAUAGAUCUAGAGGAUUGGCGGAGAAAACGGAAUUCCACGUGUAGCGGUGAAAUGCGUAGAUAUGUGGAGGAACACCGGUGGCGAAGGCGGCAUCCUGGACCGGCAUUGACGCUGAGGCGCGAAAGCCAGGGGAGCAAACGGG